This 235-nucleotide ribosomal RNA is filed under the name uncultured bacterium. RNAcentral describes it as "partial 16S ribosomal RNA". It matches the Rfam family "Bacterial small subunit ribosomal RNA", at positions 96 to 334 of the family's 1533-position model. The record is from RNAcentral.
UGGCGGACGGGUGAGUAAUGUCUGGGAAACUGCCUGAUGGAGGGGGGUAACUACUGGAAACGGUAGCUAAUACCGCAUAACGUCGCAAGACCAAAGAGGGGGACCUUAGGGCCUCUUGCCAUCGGAUGUGCCCAGAUGGGAUUAGCUAGUAGGUGGGGUAACGGCUCACCUAGGCGACGAUCCCUAGCUGGUCUGAGAGGAUGACCAGCCACACUGGAACUGAGACACGGUCCAG